CCGCCGAAUUCGCCCUUUGCCACACAGCCGCGGUAAUACUGUAGGGUGCGAGCGUUAAUCGGAAUUACUUGGGCGUAAAGCGUGCGCAGGCGGGUUAUGUAAGACAGAUGUGAAAUCCCCGGGCUCAACCUGGGAACWUGCAUUAGUGACUGCAUAGCUGGGAGUACGCGCAGAGGGGGAUGURAAUUCCGCGUGUASCAGUGAAAUUUGUAGAUAUGCGSAGGAACACCUAUGGCGAAGGCAAUCCCCUGGGCCUGUAWGACGCUCAUGCACSAAAGCGUGGGGAGCAAACAAGAUUAUGAUACCCUGGUAUGUCC
RNAcentral lists this ribosomal RNA (317 nucleotides) under uncultured bacterium. RNAcentral's name for it is "bacterial SSU rRNA". It matches the Rfam family "Bacterial small subunit ribosomal RNA", at positions 493 to 796 of the family's 1533-position model. The record is from RNAcentral.